RNAcentral lists this ribosomal RNA (468 nucleotides) under uncultured bacterium. RNAcentral's name for it is "partial 16S ribosomal RNA". It matches the Rfam family "Bacterial small subunit ribosomal RNA", at positions 28 to 507 of the family's 1533-position model. The record is from RNAcentral.
GACGAACGCUGGCGGCGUGCUUAACACAUGCAAGUCGAACGGAAAGGCCCUGCUUUUGUGGGAUGCUCGAGUGGCGAACGGGUGAGUAACACGUGAGUAACCUGCCCUUGACUUUGGGAUCACUUCAGGAAACUGGGGCUAAUACCGGAUACGAGCUCCUGCUGCAUGGUGGGGGUUGGAACGUUUCGGUGGUUGGGGAUGGACUCGCGGCUUAUCAGCUUGUUGGUGGGGUAGUGGCUUACCAAGGCUUUGACGGGUAGCCGGCCUGAGGGGGUGACCGGCCACAUUGGGACUGGAAUACGGCCCAGACUCCUACGGGAGGCAGCAGUGGGGAAUAUUGCACAAUGGGCGGAGGCCGGAUGCAGCAACGCCGCGUGCGGGAUGAGGGCCUUCGGGUGGUAAACCGCUUUCGCCUGUGACGAAGCGUUAGUGACGGUAAUGGGUAAAGAAGCACCGGCUAACUACGUG